RNAcentral lists this ribosomal RNA (292 nucleotides) under uncultured bacterium. RNAcentral describes it as "partial 16S ribosomal RNA". It matches the Rfam family "Bacterial small subunit ribosomal RNA", at positions 505 to 796 of the family's 1533-position model. The record is from RNAcentral.
GUGCCAGCAGCCGCGGUAAUACGGAGGGAGCUAGCGUUGUUCGGAAUUACUGGGCGUAAAGCGCACGUAGGCGGCUUUGUAAGUUAGAGGUGAAAGCCUGGGGCUCAACUCCAGAAUUGCCUUUAAGACUGCAUCGCUUGAAUCAUGGAGAGGCGAGUGGAAUUCCGAGUGUAGAGGUGAAAUUCGUAGAUAUUCGGAAGAACACCAGUGGCGAAGGCGGCUCGCUGGACAUGUAUUGACGCUGAGGUGCGAAAGCGUGGGGAGCAAACAGGAUUAGAAACCCUUGUAGUCC